Molecule: unclassified non-coding RNA, 366 nt
Filed under: uncultured fungus
Lineage: Eukaryota; Fungi
Description: sequence contains ITS1
Rfam family: 5.8S ribosomal RNA (bases 1-106)
Source: RNAcentral
GAAAUGCGAUACUUGGUGUGAAUUGCAGAAUCCCGUGAACCAUCGAGUCUUUGAACGCAAGUUGCGCCCGAGACCUUUGGUCGAGGGCACGUCUGCCUGGGCGUCACGCAUCGCAACACCCCACAACCAUUCUCGUGGUUGUCGGGGGGAUGAUGGUUUCCCGUGCCUCACCGGGCGCGGUUGGCCUAAAAUCGGAGCCUAAGGCAUGGAGUUGCCGCGGCAAUAGGUGGAGAACAAGGCCUCGGCCGUGGAAUCAACCAGUCGCGCAACUCGUUGACGGAAGUGCUCGAAGGACCCUUUGAUGUCGCCUUGUUGCGGCACAAUCGUUGCGACCCCAGGUCAGGCGGGGCUACCCGCUGAAUUUAA